UGGGGAAUAUUGCACAAUGGAGGGAACUCUGAUGCAGCGACGCCGCGUGAGUGAUGAAGGAAUUCGUUUCGUAAAACUCUGUUCUAUGGGAAGAAAAGGACUGUACCAUAGGAGAAAGCUCCGGCUAAAUACGUGCCAGCAGCCGCGGUAAUACGUAUGGAGCGAGCGUUGUCCGGAAUUAUUGGGCGUAAAGGGUGCGCAGGCGGCUUUACAAGUUGGAUGUGAAAUAUUGUGGCUCAACCACAAACGUGCAUCCAAAACUGCAAAGCUUGAGUUAAGGAGAGGUAAGUGGAAUUCCUGGUGUAGCGGUGGAAUGCGUAGAUAUCAGGAGGAAUACCGGUGGCGAAGGCGACUGACUGGACUUAAACUGACGCUCAGGCACGAAAGCGUGGGGAGCAAACAGG
Molecule: ribosomal RNA, 404 nt
Filed under: Fusobacteriota bacterium
Lineage: Bacteria; Fusobacteriati; Fusobacteriota
Description: Fusobacteria bacterium partial 16S ribosomal RNA
Rfam family: Bacterial small subunit ribosomal RNA
Source: RNAcentral